Molecule: unclassified non-coding RNA, 381 nt
Filed under: uncultured Cuphophyllus
Lineage: Eukaryota; Fungi; Basidiomycota; Agaricomycetes; Agaricales; Hygrophoraceae
Description: sequence contains ITS1
Rfam family: 5.8S ribosomal RNA (bases 1-105)
Source: RNAcentral
GAAAUGCAAUAAGUAAUGUGAAUUGCAGAAUUCAGUGAAUCAUCGAAUCUUUGAACACACCUUGUGCUCCUUGGUAUUCCAAGGAGCAUGCCUGUUUGAGUGUCAUUAAAUUCUCAACCUCUUCAGCUUUUGCUAGUUUGAAGGCGGAUUGGAUUGUUGGGGGCUUUGUGGGCUUUCUUUGGAAAGUCAGCUCCUCUUAAAUGCAUUAGCAGAAAAACCCUUGUGGACCAUCUUUGGUGUGAUAAUUAUCUACGCCAUUGCCACAAAGCAGUUCCAUUUUUACAAUGGGGGGGCUUUCAGCUUCAAACCAUCCCUCUGAAUGAGACAACAUUUUAUUGACAUUUUGACCUCAAAUCAGGUAGGACUACCCACUGAACUUAA